Fusarium tricinctum is the source of this 95-nucleotide non-coding RNA. Lineage: Eukaryota; Fungi; Ascomycota; Sordariomycetes; Hypocreales; Nectriaceae. The record is from the annotation of a GenBank genome assembly.
GAUCUUGUGGCCUAGUGGUUAGGGCACCUGUCUUACAAAAUGAAAUGCGUUUCAGUGAUCACAGGGGAUCGCAGGUUCGAACCCUGCCAAGAUCA